UAGUCCGAACCCCCGAAACUAAGUGAGCUACUUCGAAACGUCUUAAGGACAAACCCGUCUCUGUCGCAAUAGAGUGGGGUGAUUUUCAAGUAGCGGCGACAAACCUACCGCACUUAGAGAUAGCUGGUUGCUCAAGAACAGAAUACAAGUUCAGCCUUAAGUUUUUCAAUUACAAAAGAAGCCUUACAAGACUUAAGAGUUAUUCAAAUAAGGCACAGCUUAUUUGAACUAGGGUACAACCUACAACCCCGGGUAAAACUUCAGAAUUAAUAACAAGUGGGCCUAAAAGCAGCCACCUUCUAAAAAGCGUUAAAGCUUAAUUUUUAUUUUAUUCAAAUAUCUAAAUAUACCUUUAACCCACCACUAAUAUUGAGCAAUUUCAUAACAUAUGAAAAAUAUAAUGCUAAAACUAGUAACAAGAAAGUUUUCUCCAAAAUGCAAGCCUAAGCCACAAUAGACAACCUACUGGCAAUUAACGUCAAUGACAGCCCUAUAGCACCUCAGACAAGAAAAUCCUACAACUUUAAGCGUUAACCUUACACUAGAGCACUAAUGGAAAGAUUAA
This 565-nucleotide ribosomal RNA is filed under the name Gephyromantis grosjeani. Its description in RNAcentral is "partial 16S ribosomal RNA". The stretch from base 1 to 404 matches the Rfam family "Bacterial large subunit ribosomal RNA", at positions 703 to 1297 of the family's 2925-position model. The record is from RNAcentral. Lineage: Eukaryota; Metazoa; Chordata; Amphibia; Anura; Mantellidae.